This 1020-nucleotide non-coding RNA is filed under the name Pongo abelii (Sumatran orangutan). Lineage: Eukaryota; Metazoa; Chordata; Mammalia; Primates; Hominidae. The record is from RNAcentral.
ACCCAGUUAUUAAACAUUACCAGCAUAACAUUGGCUUCUUAUUCCUCAGUUUACCAGGCUGUUACUCAAAAUUCACUCUCCAGCCCUGCUUUGGAGCAGUUGGGAACUUCAGCAUUUUGAUCCACCUUUUUGGAGCCGCCUCAUGUGAAAGAUGGGUGAGACCUUCGUCAGCAAACCUUAUAUGUAGGAGCUGGUAUGAGGAUCACACAAUGCAAGCAAAUAAAAUGAGAAAAGAUGAUUCAACAAGAGGCUUCACUGAUUUACUGUUUAUUUAACUGCUUUGACCAAAGUGCUUGGUUCUUAUAUGAAUAAGAAAGGGGAUAAGUUAUCCACCAGAAUGAAAGUUAUAUUCAGGUUUGAAGCUUCUGCUGUCAGAUAAUAUAGUUUUCUGUAGUGUGGAAGAACAGCAUCAUUUUCAAGCAAGGUGGAAUUAAGCAUGGACAGAACUGUGUUUCUCACCCCGGAGGAGGUAUGAAAGUUUUCAAGACGCCUACAAGUGGAAAAUGCACUCCUCCCAGCCAAAUCAAGCUUCGCCAGAUUCCUUACAGCUGUGUGCAGUGAAAUGACUAAUGAAAGAGCCCUCUGCUGCUGGUGGAACUUUCACAUAUGGCACUGUUAUGCCACUCAGCAGGACCCGACCCUGGUAUUUACAUAUUGGAUGUCACCCCAAAAGCCCCUGACCAGGGGGUUUCCGGGAUGUAAUAAGAAUGCCACUCUGGGCUUUGGAAGGUGCACCGUAUGCACACCCAUACUAUAGGGCAGGGGUUAGCAUUUCAGACCCCUGUUCCUCCCUUGACAAGCAAGUGCUUUUCUCCAGGGAAGACGUUCGGGUUCAUUCAUAGAUCCAUUGUUGCCGUGGGCAGCUCAGUAACAAUAGCUCUGCUGCCUACCAGCUGCUGGUGGAGGUGUUGAGAAUACCUAGAUGAGGAAGUCAGGGCCCCUGCGUGCUUCAGCAGAGCUGGAUGCCUGGCAUGGCAAUCAAUGGACACAAACCUUUGGAUAAUUUCCAUCCUUGGCGGU